Molecule: long non-coding RNA, 1130 nt
Organism: Cynoglossus semilaevis (tongue sole)
Lineage: Eukaryota; Metazoa; Chordata; Actinopteri; Pleuronectiformes; Cynoglossidae
Exons: 2
Source: RefSeq, a predicted model, not a curated record
GCUGGUGGAGGAAUGAUUUAACCAAAUUUUAAAAGCUGAAUGUUUGAGAAGAACGUGCAUACUUCUAGAUGGCAAACACAAAGCAGCGGAGCAAAUCUGUAUGGUAGCAUUUCAAACAAAGCUACUUCAAAAAAAAGCUUCCAGGAGCACUGCAAAAACAAGAAAUGCUAAACUGACAGGGUAAAAGUGUUGUGUUGCAUUUCACAUUAUUUUUCUUUCUUUUUUUUUUUUUGUAUCUGUGAUUCGUACAAUAGAUGAAACCGACCCAGUCCACCAGACAUCCAGAGCAUCUCCAAUUAGUUUCUGACAUGUUUGUUGUUCAACGGGCAAACUAUUCAUUAACGAUGUCCAACAAUGUCCAUAUAAACAUGGCUGUUGGAUCUAAACUCUCCAUACUGCUGGUGACAAAUCAGCACAUGGGAGUAGUGCAUCUUUUCAUAGACUACUUCACUUGAUUGAACAACAUUUUAGACUCAGGUAAGUAAAUAUGUGAGACUGUCACAAAGCAUCACAGAGGUUCAAUUUUAUAAGCAGGACAUUUGCAAAAUGCCUAUCUGCUUCUCAGAUAGGCAUAGCUGAUUGGUCGGAAUUACUAAAUCUGAUAAGGAAAACAGAUAACCGACACAGACAAUAACACCAGGCGGAAAUUCUAGUUCAAAGACAAAUACAUUAUGUCUGAGGGUGUGGCAGGUAAGGUUGCAUGGGAUCAAUGUUCUCGAUCCCAUGAAGAAGAUGACACCAAAUAUGUAACAACAAACCUUUGUUAAUGACAUUGCUCAGGUUAGGACAUUGAAAUGCUCAAAGAAAUACAGUUUAGGCACAACAAGACAGGACAAGAUGGCAGUAACUGCUGCAAAACACCAAAACAAACAACCAAAACUAAUCGUUUGGUUUUGGCUAACUCAAAUACAGGAUUUUUUUUUUUUUUUUUUUGGUAAAGCCUAGGAGUUGGGCGGAGCCUGAAUCCUGGCAGUCAAUCCAGUAUGUAAUUGGAAUUGUGAAGCAAAAGUCACAAACAAAUCGUUUUGUUCAGGUAACAACAGAGGAAAAGCCCUACACCGUUUACAUUAACAAGCUUUAAACAUAUAACAAUACAAUUGCACCUCGAAUGAUCAUAACCAGAAAAAAAA